CUAGUAACGGCGAGUGAAGCGGCAACAGCUCAAAUUUGAAAUCUGGCCCUCGGGUCCGAGUUGUAAUUUGUAGAGGAUGCUUUUGGUGAGGUACCUUCCGAGUUCCCUGGAACGGGACGCCAUAGAGGGUGAGAGCCCCGUCUGGUUGGAUACCGAUCCUCUGUAAAGCUCCUUCGACGAGUCGAGUAGUUUGGGAAUGCUGCUCUAAAUGGGAGGUAUAUGUCUUCUAAAGCUAAAUAUUGGCCAGAGACCGAUAGCGCACAAGUAGAGUGAUCGAAAGAUGAAAAGCACUUUGAAAAGAGAGUUAAAAAGUACGUGAAAUUGUUGAAAGGGAAGCGCUCAUGACCAGACUUGGGCUUGGUUGAUCAUCCAGGGUUCUCCCUGGUGCACUCUUCCAGCUCAGGCCAGCAUCAGUUCGCCGCGGGGGAUAAAGGCUUUGGGAAUGUGGCUCCCCCGGGAGUGUUAUAGCCCACUGCGUAAUACCCUGUAGUGGACUGAGGUUCGCGCAUCUGCAAGGAU
Molecule: ribosomal RNA, 519 nt
Filed under: Ilyonectria destructans
Lineage: Eukaryota; Fungi; Ascomycota; Sordariomycetes; Hypocreales; Nectriaceae
Description: LSU rRNA
Rfam family: Eukaryotic large subunit ribosomal RNA
Source: RNAcentral